GUCUACAGCCACACUACUGUGAACAAGCCCGAUCUCAUCUGAUCUCGGAAGCUAAGCAGGGUUGAACUUGGUUAGUACUUGAAUGGGAGACCACUUAGGAAGACCAGGUGCUGUAGGCG
RNAcentral lists this ribosomal RNA (119 nucleotides) under Pteropus vampyrus (large flying fox). Lineage: Eukaryota; Metazoa; Chordata; Mammalia; Chiroptera; Pteropodidae. The record is from RNAcentral.